This 782-nucleotide ribosomal RNA is filed under the name uncultured Lactobacillus sp. Its description in RNAcentral is "bacterial SSU rRNA". It matches the Rfam family "Bacterial small subunit ribosomal RNA", at positions 28 to 776 of the family's 1533-position model. Lineage: Bacteria; Bacillati; Bacillota; Bacilli; Lactobacillales; Lactobacillaceae. The record is from RNAcentral.
GAUGAACGCCGGCGGUGUGCCUAAUACAUGCAAGUCGAGCGAGCGGAACUAACAGAUUUACUUCGGUAAUGACGUUAGGAAAGCGAGCGGCGGAUGGGUGAGUAACACGUGGGGAACCUGCCCCAUAGUCUGGGAUACCACUUGGAAACAGGUGCUAAUACCGGAUAAGAAAGCAGAUCGCAUGAUCAGCUUUUAAAAGGCGGCGUAAGCUGUCGCUAUGGGAUGGCCCCGCGGUGCAUUAGCUAGUUGGUAAGGUAAAGGCUUACCAAGGCGAUGAUGCAUAGCCGAGUUGAGAGACUGAUCGGCCACAUUGGGACUGAGACACGGCCCAAACUCCUACGGGAGGCAGCAGUAGGGAAUCUUCCACAAUGGACGCAAGUCUGAUGGAGCAACGCCGCGUGAGUGAAGAAGGUUUUCGGAUCGUAAAGCUCUGUUGUUGGUGAAGAAGGAUAGAGGUAGUAACUGGCCUUUAUUUGACGGUAAUCAACCAGAAAGUCACGGCUAACUACGUGCCAGCAGCCGCGGUAAUACGUAGGUGGCAAGCGUUGUCCGGAUUUAUUGGGCGUAAAGCGAGCGCAGGCGGAAGAAUAAGUCUGAUGUGAAAGCCCUCGGCUUAACCGAGGAACUGCAUCGGAAACUGUUUUUUCUUGAGUGCAGAAGAGGAGAGUGGAACUCCAUGUGUAGCGGUGAAAUGCGUAGAUAUAUGGAAGAACACCAGUGGCGAAGGCGGCUCUCUGGUCUGCAACUGACGCUGAGGCUCGAAAGCAUGGGUAGCGAACAGG